This 171-nucleotide ribosomal RNA is filed under the name Hoya corymbosa. Its description in RNAcentral is "5.8S ribosomal RNA". It matches the Rfam family "5.8S ribosomal RNA". From Rfam's summary of the family: 5.8S ribosomal RNA (5.8S rRNA) is a component of the large subunit of the eukaryotic ribosome. It is transcribed by RNA polymerase I as part of the 45S precursor that also contains 18S and 28S rRNA. Functionally, it is thought that 5.8S rRNA may be involved in ribosome translocation. The record is from RNAcentral. Lineage: Eukaryota; Viridiplantae; Streptophyta; Magnoliopsida; Gentianales; Apocynaceae.
UACACGACUCUCGGCAACGGAUAUCUAGGCUCUCGCAUCGAUGAAGAACGUAGCAAACUGCGAUACUUGGUGUGAAUUGCAGAAUCCCGUGAACCAUCGAGUUUUUGAACGCAAGUUGCGCCCGAAGCCAUUAGGCUGAGGGCACGUCUGCCUGGGCGUCACGCAUCGCGU